Molecule: long non-coding RNA, 276 nt
Filed under: Populus trichocarpa (black cottonwood)
Lineage: Eukaryota; Viridiplantae; Streptophyta; Magnoliopsida; Malpighiales; Salicaceae
Description: long non-coding RNA (PTRI_LNC001988)
Source: RNAcentral
UUUUUUUAAUUAAUAUGCUUAACGAAAAUUUUUUUCUCUCCUCAGCUUCACUUGCAACUACAUUAAGGUAAGAUUUUUCUUUUUUCUUCUUUUUUCAUGACUUUUUUCACUAUAUUUGUUUUUUAUUUUAUUUUUAAUUGUUUUUGUUCUUAAUAAUUGUAUAAAUGUUGUUGUGAGAUUUUAUUUUUUCAUAUGAGAUUAAUUUUUAGUUCAUUUAUUUAUAGGAUUUUUAAAUUUUUAGCAAUUGCAACUUUAUUUUUUUCAUAUGAAUUUUUU